GACGAACGCUGGCGGCGCGCUUAACACAUGCCAGUCGAACGGAAAGGCCUGCUUUCCCUUGUGGAUUGCGGGUACUCGAGUGGCGAACGGGUGAGUAACACGUGAGUGAUCUGCCCCCAACUUGGGUAUAAGCCUGGGAAACUGGGUCUAAUUCCCGAUAGGACUGCAGGGUGGUGCCUGUGGUGGAAAACGAUUUUCUAGUGGUUGGGGAUGAGCUCGCGGCCUAUCAGCUUGUUGGUGGGGUAAUGGCCUACCAAGGCGGCGACGGGUAGCCGGCCUGAGAGGGUGGACGGCCACAGUGGGACUGAGAUACGGCCCAGACUCCUACGGGAGGCAGCAGUGGGGAAUAUUGCACAAUGGGCGGAAGCCUGAUGCAGCGACGCCGCGUGGGGGAUGACGGCCUUCGGGUUGUAAACUCCUUUCGACCGCGAGGAAGCCACCUGGUUGGAAGGGUGGUGACGGUAGUGGUAGAAGAAGCACCGGCUAACUACGUG
This 494-nucleotide ribosomal RNA is filed under the name uncultured bacterium. RNAcentral describes it as "partial 16S ribosomal RNA". It matches the Rfam family "Bacterial small subunit ribosomal RNA", at positions 28 to 507 of the family's 1533-position model. The record is from RNAcentral.